AUGCACAUCCCUACAAUGUUAAUGCACCAAAUCCCAACAUAACUCCAUAGUUAAGCGCACUUGGGAUAGAGUAGUAAUGGGAUGGGUGACCUUUUGGGAAGUCCUAGUGUUUUGCAUG
Molecule: non-coding RNA, 118 nt
Organism: Picea glauca (white spruce)
Lineage: Eukaryota; Viridiplantae; Streptophyta; Pinopsida; Pinales; Pinaceae
Source: Rfam